This 301-nucleotide ribosomal RNA is filed under the name uncultured bacterium. RNAcentral's name for it is "partial 16S ribosomal RNA". It matches the Rfam family "Bacterial small subunit ribosomal RNA", at positions 509 to 809 of the family's 1533-position model. The record is from RNAcentral.
CAGUAGCCGCGGUAAUACGUAGGGUGCGAGCGUUAAUCGGAAUUACUGGGCGUAAAGCGUGCGCAGGCGGUUGUGUAAGACAGGUGUGAAAUCCCCGGGCUUAACCUGGGAACUGCGCUUGUGACUGCACAGCUAGAGUAUGGCAGAGGGGGGUGGAAUUCCACGUGUAGCAGUGAAAUGCGUAGAGAUGUGGAGGAACACCGAUGGCGAAGGCAGCCCCCUGGGCCAAUACUGACGCUCAUGCACGAAAGCGUGGGGAGCAAACAGGAUUAGAUAUCCCGGUAGUCCCUGUCUCUUAUAU